This is a long non-coding RNA of Ostrinia nubilalis (European corn borer), 1198 nucleotides long. RefSeq lists it as uncharacterized. The transcript has 2 exons. Lineage: Eukaryota; Metazoa; Arthropoda; Insecta; Lepidoptera; Crambidae. The record is from RefSeq and is a predicted model, not a curated record.
CGCUGCACAUACGUAGAUUUCAACGAUUUAGGCGGCCAAAACCCAGUUUUCCAAAAUCAAUCUAUUGAAAAAUAAACCAUGUACGCGGGUAGUACACACUUCCAGGAAUACCAUGGUACCUUUUUCAAUGUUCAACGAGCGCAAAUCUACCCUCUAGAGUAGUCUGAAUGCGAUAGUUCGCUUAACGUGUAUGUAUUUGUUUUCGGGCGCUCUUAAACUUACAACUUUUGUAUAGCCUGACCAGGAACAUAAAAACCCUCGCCAUGUUGCGGAAAACUAAUGGUACUAAUUUCUUUUAAUGGCAACAGUAACUGAAAACUUCAUUGACAUGUCACCUUGCAUGUCAGUCUAUUGCUGUCAAAGUGUAAACAAACUUUAUUUUAAAUGUGCGCAAUUGGUUUUAUGAAUUAAAUUGCUAAAAUAUUUUUAUAGUCGUGAAAGAAAAGUGGUUCACAAUGUGUUAAAGUAUUUGUCGAAGAGAAAUACUAAGGGUUCGGACAAUAUUUUCAUUGAAUAAUGUUUCCGACAAAGGUUGUCAAAUUGACUGACAUGUUUAUCGUAUAGUACAGUCCACUAUGAAAAUUAGCUGUGGUUUGUUUCAACUACCUAUUUUAAAAAUUUUGUCACUUUCUAAGUGUUGAAUUUUAUGGGAUUGGGAAAGAAGUACCGAGUUUGAAGCGUUCAUGAGCAGACAUUGCAGUUGAAUAUUCAAGUUCUGAAUUUGAUUAUUGAUGAAUAAUAAAAUAAAUCUACUAGCUCGAUUGAUGGUUUCAUUUAAUUUAUUUAAAUCAGGUUACCUAUAAUAAUAUUUUUUCGUUAAUUUAUGAAAAUAUUAAAUUAGCCCGUAAUCCUGAAUCCUGAUACAUAAAGUUAGCCUAUUAAUUUAACACAGGUACGACUGUACUCAGUGUUGCACUAUCAAAUGCAAUUGAAGCGCCUCUAUGCCAGGGUUUUUAUGUUCCUGGUCAGGCUAUAGUUGAAAAAUUUUGAAAAAAGGCCUUUUGAAAAUUCCCCGUGGUUAAAACGGAAACAUAAAGGUUACCAAUUCGAAUUAAGAUUAUUGAAGAAUUUGGAAAGAUUUUGAAAAAGUUUUAUUUUAAGUAGAAUAGUUUUUAUAUCUAAGUGCAUUAAGCGUGGAAAAACUAAUAUAAAUGUAGGGCUUUGCACGGUGGCUCACUAAACAUGGGUUAGAUCAAAA